AGUCUAUUCAGAGGAACCUGUCCUGUAAUUGAUAAUCCACGAUGUACCUCACUUAAAUUUGUUUUUCAGUUUAUAUACCGUCGUUAUCAGAAUAUUUUAUUAGAAUAAUAAUUUUCUAUAAUUUUUAUAAGAAUUUAUAUCAGAUCAAGGUGUAGCUUAUGUUUAAGUAGAGAUGGGUUACAAUAAAUUUAUUUAAACGGAUCUAAUUUUGAAAUGUUUAGUGAAGGUGGAUUUGAUAGUAAAAUUUUAAAGAUUGUUAAUUUGAUUUUAGCUCUAGAAUAUGCACACAUCGCCCGUCGCUCUUGCUAUUAAGGCAAGAUAAGUCGUAACAUAGUAGAUGUACCGGAAGGUGUAUCUAGAAUGA
This 364-nucleotide ribosomal RNA is filed under the name Bactrocera kandiensis. RNAcentral's name for it is "partial 12S rRNA". It matches the Rfam family "Microsporidia small subunit ribosomal RNA", at positions 800 to 1311 of the family's 1311-position model. Lineage: Eukaryota; Metazoa; Arthropoda; Insecta; Diptera; Tephritidae. The record is from RNAcentral.